Molecule: ribosomal RNA, 157 nt
Filed under: Mycoleptodiscus terrestris
Lineage: Eukaryota; Fungi; Ascomycota; Dothideomycetes; Muyocopronales; Muyocopronaceae
Also listed under: 1 other name
Description: 5.8S ribosomal RNA
Rfam family: 5.8S ribosomal RNA
About the family: 5.8S ribosomal RNA (5.8S rRNA) is a component of the large subunit of the eukaryotic ribosome.
Source: RNAcentral
CAACUUUCAACAAUGGAUCUCUUGGCUCCAGCAUCGAUGAAGAACGCAGCGAAAUGCGAUAACUAGUGUGAAUUGCAGAUUUCAGUGAAUCAUCGAGUCUUUGAACGCACAUUGCGCCUCUUGGUAUUCCUCGAGGCAUGCCUAUCGAGCGUCGUUU